AGCAAGCGGACCAAGGCAUACACAGCGGCCGAGGACAAGCUUCUUUGUGAGUGUUGGAGAGACAUUGGGCAAGACACCAAAAUAGGCGCCGAACAAAAGGCAUCAAGCUUUUGGAGCUCCAUGAGCGCAAGAAGUUUCCGCCAUACCAAAUAG
RNAcentral lists this ribosomal RNA (153 nucleotides) under Triticum aestivum (bread wheat). Its description in RNAcentral is "partial small subunit ribosomal RNA". Lineage: Eukaryota; Viridiplantae; Streptophyta; Magnoliopsida; Poales; Poaceae. The record is from RNAcentral.